Molecule: ribosomal RNA, 415 nt
Filed under: uncultured bacterium
Lineage: Bacteria
Description: bacterial SSU rRNA
Rfam family: Bacterial small subunit ribosomal RNA
Source: RNAcentral
UAAGGAAUAUUGGUCAAUGGACGCAAGUCUGAACCAGCCAUGCCGCGUGGAGGAUUAAGGCCCUCUGGGUUGUAAACUCCUUUUAUCUGGGAAGAAAUGUACUUUUUCUUGAGUACUUGACGGUACCAGAGGAAUAAGCACCGGCUAACUCCGUGCCAGCAGCCGCGGUAAUACGGAGGGUGCAAGCGUUAUCCGGAUUCACUGGGUUUAAAGGGUGCGUAGGUGGGCAGGUAAGUCAGUGGUGAAAUCUCCGGGCUUAACCCGGAAACUUCCGUUGAUACUAUGUGUCUUGAAUAUUGUGGAGGUAAGCGGAAUAUGUCAUGUAGCGGUGAAAUGCUUAGAUAUGACAUAGAACACCAAUUUCGAAGGCAGCUUACUACACAAUCAUUGACGCUGAGGCACGAAAGCGUGGGGA